Long non-coding RNA from Vombatus ursinus (common wombat), 520 nucleotides. RefSeq lists it as uncharacterized. NCBI's taxonomy places the organism in Eukaryota, Metazoa, Chordata, Mammalia, Diprotodontia, Vombatidae. The record is from RefSeq and is a predicted model, not a curated record. The transcript is spliced from 3 exons.
UGUAUUAUUUACAAAAAGGGGUAUUCGUAUCCCCAGCACUUAGCACAGUGCCUGGCACUGGUAGGUACUUAAUAAAUGUUUAUUGACUAUCUUCUUCCUUAUGCUUUUCCCACCUGAUCUCCAGCCUCAGGUGAGAAGAGGAAUGACCUCCCUCUGACUACAUCUUCCAUCUGAUGCUACACAGGCCUGAUAGCCAGUCUCAGAUUCCUAGGGGCUAUCUGGAGGAGACUUCCAUCUGUACCAGCACACAGUAACUUCUACCUCCUGCUCCACCAGUAGGAGAAGAAUCGGUGUGUGACUGUAUUGGAAGUUUCUUCAUCUGUGCUGUGUCCCUGAUGGUAUUGCUUCUAGUCAUCUCCUGCAACAUGUGACUCACCGUGAACUGCAGAUAUUUGGUAUUACCCCAGAUCUUUGAGAUCUGAGACUUGGUCCUUCUGAAGAGAGUGUACUACAACCUGGUAGCAAAGAUUCUGCUGCAUUGUCAUCAGUAUUUUUACCUCUUCUGUCCAAAUUUAGCCAU